GCUCACCACAUACUGCUUAACCCCAGUUACUUAAUCAGAUUUGAAAGAGGGAACUCAUUCUUCCUCUUUGCUCUGCGCUGCUAAUUCCACCGCAACGAUGUGUUUGCUCGAGUGAAUAAUAACUGCUCAAAGUCAAGACUUGGCUGGACUUGACCUCCAUGUCUUCACUGUAAACUACUGCCCUGUUUGUGGGUUCAGGCAGUGGUUGUCUGCACAACAUGAACACAUAAUGAUGGACCUGUGAGGAGAGAAGACUCUGGACCUGUGCAACCCCUCAGAAGUGCCUCUCUCCCUGAGCUCACUCAGUAGCUGCCCACUACAAACAUGUGUUGCACCAGACCUCUCAGUUAUUGAAAACCUCUCUGUCCAGUGCUGCGUGUCCUCCCUCUCCAGUCCAAGCUCUCCAGUUCACACCACAAUUGGAAGGAAGUGGGUGGCUGUGUUCUUCCUGCG
Molecule: long non-coding RNA, 453 nt
Organism: Acanthopagrus latus (yellowfin seabream)
Lineage: Eukaryota; Metazoa; Chordata; Actinopteri; Spariformes; Sparidae
Exons: 4
Source: RefSeq, a predicted model, not a curated record